RNAcentral lists this long non-coding RNA (1459 nucleotides) under Piliocolobus tephrosceles (Ugandan red Colobus). RNAcentral describes it as "lncRNA (ENSPTEG00000016833.1)". Lineage: Eukaryota; Metazoa; Chordata; Mammalia; Primates; Cercopithecidae. The record is from RNAcentral.
UGAAUAUGUACAAUAAAACUAUUUUUUUUUUUUUUUUUUUUUUUUAAAAAACUCUCAUUUUAAUUUUUUUUAUUUUAUUUUGUACAUAUAUAAAAAUGAGAGAUUUUUUCAAAAAAAAAAAAAAAAAAAAAAAUUGGUCAAUGGUAAAAAUUAGCCACAAUUAGUGUGUUAAAUUUUUUGAAAAAGAGUAAAAACAAAAAUAUAUUAUUGUAAAAAGAAAAAGAUAUCCAAUUUUAACAAAUAUAUAUGUAUAUAAAAAUUUUAACAACUUAGUUAAAAUAUGUUAAUAAUGUUGUAUUUUUAACUGGUUUAAUAGUACUUCCGCUUAUAUGUUAUACAUAUAUAUAUAUAUAAGAUCAUACACGCUCAUUCAUAUUUAGAGGCCAGACGUAAAUAAAAAAAAAAAAAAAAAAAUUAGCAUAAAAAAAAAAAAUUACUACAGACUAUAGAGAAAAAUACAAAGGGAUGAUAUGCAAAAAAAAAAAAAAUGAAUUUAUCAAUGGACUCAGAAAUUGAAAACAAUUUUUUUAUAAAAUCUUUUUUUGAAUCAUUAUCCAACUUUGUAAGAAAUGUUAAGAUCGAAAUAAAGGAUGUGUUUGAAUUACUUAAUUACCCAUGUGUUUAUCAAAACUAUAAAAAGAAAUUUAGUAUUAACGAAAAUGAAGAUUAUAAGAAUGUAUUAGAAACGCAUGUGAUUAGCAAAAAAGAUAAAAAGAAUAUUGAGAACUUUCGAUUAUAUCAAAAAGAAUUACAAACAAUGUUAAAAAAUAUAAAACAGUUUCAUGAAAAAUAUAAAUUAGACAUUCCUUUAUCAUUUAUUCUUGAAAAUAUUAUAAUAUUACAUUUAAUUAAUGAAUAUAAAAUAAAUAAUAUUGUUGAAAAAAUUAAAGAUCAUAAUAUUGCUAUGCCUGAUUUAAAUAGUGACCUACCCAAAUAUUUAAUACACGCGAUAGAUAAAGAAAAAGAAGAAAAUGAUGAAUAUAAUGAAUUAUAUGAUAAAGUAAAAGAAGGAAAUUCUUUAUCCAUUAACAAUUAUGCUGUCCAAAAUAUGUUAAAACAUACAGACAUAAAAAUUAAUUUAUCAAAACUAAAAUUUUCUAAUAAUGAAAAAUAUUUUUUAGAUGAGUUUAAAUAUACACCUGAUAGAUAUGUAAAAGAAACAAAUGAAUAUGUAAUGACAAAAACGGAAGAAAAGACAGAUAGCGAAACUGGGAAAGAUACAGACGCUACAACACAGGGGGUAGGUGUGGUAGACUUUACAAAUGAAACAAAAGACAAAUCGAUAGAGCAUGUAUACAAUACGAGUAAUGAAAAUGUGCAACAUACAGAGAAAAAACUAAACAAUAAUAAUAAUAAUAAUACAGCAAUACGUAAAACUGAAGAAAGAACAAACCUGAUUGAAAAUAUUGGUUUAUCAGAAGAGACAUUAAAAUUGCUCAACUUGUUACCAAAAAAAAGA